GACGAACGCUGGCGGCGUGCUUAACACAUGCAAGUCGAACGGAAAGGCCUUUUCGGAGGUACUCGAGUGGCGAACGGGUGAGUAACACGUGGGUGAUCUGCCCUGCACUCUGGGAUAAGCCUGGGAAACUGGGUCUAAUACCGGAUAGGACCGCACUUUAGUGUGUGUGGUGGAAAGUUUUUUCGGUGUAGGAUGAGCCCGCGGCCUAUCAGCUUGUUGGUGGGGUAAUGGCCUACCAAGGCGGCGACGGGUAGCCGGACUGAGAGGUUGGUCGGCCACAAUGGGACUGAGAUACGGCCCAGACUCCUACGGGAGGCAGCAGUGGGGAAUAUUGCACAAUGGGCGCAAGCCUGAUGCAGCGACGCCGCGUGGGGGAUGACGGCCUUCGGGUUGUAAACGCCUUUCGCCAGGGACGAAGCGUUUUGUGACGGUACCUGGAGAAGAAGCACCGGCUAACUACGUG
Molecule: ribosomal RNA, 463 nt
Filed under: uncultured bacterium
Lineage: Bacteria
Description: partial 16S ribosomal RNA
Rfam family: Bacterial small subunit ribosomal RNA
Source: RNAcentral